Molecule: small RNA, 76 nt
Filed under: Xanthomonas prunicola
Lineage: Bacteria; Pseudomonadati; Pseudomonadota; Gammaproteobacteria; Lysobacterales; Lysobacteraceae
Description: sX9 sRNA
Rfam family: Xanthomonas sRNA sX9
Source: RNAcentral
AUGGACCAUUCGGACACUCCGGUUCCUGCGCGCCGGCGCCCCCCGCCUGACGGCUGCUUGCUGCGUUUUGUUGGCC